This is a long non-coding RNA of Megalobrama amblycephala (Wuchang bream), 469 nucleotides long. RefSeq lists it as uncharacterized. The record is from RefSeq and is a predicted model, not a curated record. The transcript is spliced from 3 exons. NCBI's taxonomy places the organism in Eukaryota, Metazoa, Chordata, Actinopteri, Cypriniformes, Xenocyprididae.
CGACUGCGGUAUUAUCGCUCCCAGAAGCGAACUUACGAAUCCUACUAUGGAAAUGGUGUGGUCGUUAAUAUUCAGGAGGCAGUCGUUUGGCAUUGGAAGGUCGCAAGAAACGUCACGAUAAGCUAAUUAAUAUGCAUGAGCCAAUUCUUGCUUGGUCAUGUCAGCCGUGCACCAUGGACAUCAAGAAUAGGAACUUUAGUCAAUUACUUGUCUUCUUGUUUGUGGAUGCUUGCCGACAUUUCUCUGGGAAAAGCUCUUUUGAAAGUGGAUUAGAGUAAGUCUCACGUCCUCCUUCUUAAGUGGAAGAAAAAACAACUGCCUGAUCUACUUUCUCAAGGGUCCAGCUCAGUUCCAAAUCUUCAAGAAGCUGUCCCAUGAGCCAGUGCAAACGCACAUGCCAUCUGGCGGUACUCCGGUGCAGCUCACCCUGUUGUCAUGGCCAGACAACACACCUACAAAAGAGAACGGA